UACGUAGGUGACCAGCGUUGUCCGGAUUUACUGGGCGUAAAGAGCGCGCAGGCGGUCGUUUAAGUCGAGUGUGAAAGCCCCCGGCUCAACUGGGGAGGGUCAUUCGAUACUGAUCGACUGGAAGGCAGGAGAGGGAAGCGGAAUUCCCGGUGUAGUGGUGAAAUGCGUAGAUAUCGGGAGGAACACCAGUGGCGAAGGCGGCUUCCUGGCCUGUUCUUGACGCUGAGGCGCGAAAGCUAGGGGAGCAAACGGG
RNAcentral lists this ribosomal RNA (253 nucleotides) under uncultured bacterium. RNAcentral's name for it is "partial 16S ribosomal RNA". It matches the Rfam family "Bacterial small subunit ribosomal RNA", at positions 524 to 776 of the family's 1533-position model. The record is from RNAcentral.